RNAcentral lists this transfer RNA (76 nucleotides) under Actinomycetota bacterium. Its description in RNAcentral is "Actinobacteria bacterium (freshwater metagenome) tRNA-Phe". It matches the Rfam family "tRNA". Rfam says of the family: Transfer RNA (tRNA) molecules are approximately 80 nucleotides in length. Their secondary structure includes four short double-helical elements and three loops (D, anti-codon, and T loops). The record is from RNAcentral. Lineage: Bacteria; Bacillati; Actinomycetota.
GGUCGGGUAGCUCAGUUGGGAGAGCGCCGGUCUGAAAAACCGGAGGUCGCCGGAUCGUUCCCGGCCCCGACCACCA